This 420-nucleotide ribosomal RNA is filed under the name uncultured bacterium. Its description in RNAcentral is "bacterial SSU rRNA". It matches the Rfam family "Bacterial small subunit ribosomal RNA", at positions 356 to 773 of the family's 1533-position model. The record is from RNAcentral.
AAGGAAUAUUGGUCAAUGGACGCAAGUCUGAACCAGCCAUGCCGCGUGAAGGAUUAAGGCCCUCUGGGUUGUAAACUUCUUUUAUAGGGGAAGAAAUGUGACGGUUCGCCGUCACUUGACGGUACCCUGGGAAUAAGCACCGGCUAACUCCGUGCCAGCAGCCGCGGUAAUACGGAGGGUGCAAGCGUUAUCCGGAUUCACUGGGUUUAAAGGGUGCGUAGGUGGGCAGAUAAGUCAGUGGUGAAAUCUUCCGGCUUAACCGGGAAACUGCCGUUGAUACUGUUUGUCUUGAAUAUUGCGGAGGUAAGCAGAAUAUGUCGUGUUGCGGUGAGAUGCUUAGAUAUAACAUAGAACACCAAUUGCGAAGGAAGCUUACUACACAAUCAUUGACACUGAGGCACGAAAGCGUGGGUAGCGAAC